CUUUACUGUAGCCUGGAAUUGGGUUCGGGCUCUUCUUGCGCAGCCUAGGUGGGAGGCGUUGAAGGUUUUCUUUCGGGGAAACUGGAGCCAACAGUGAGAGACCACUCUGGAGGAGCUAGAAUUCUAAUGGCGAUCCUUGAAUCAGGACGCUUGACAGUUUCAGGCGGGCAGUUUGACUGGGGCGGUCGCCUCAUAAAAGGUAACUGAGGCGUGCAAAGGUUCCCUCAGGCUGGACGGAAAUCAGCCGUAGAGUGUAAAGGCAGAAGGGAGCUUGACUGCAAGACUUACAAGUCGAGCAGGGGCGAAAGCCGGCCUUAGUGAUCCGACGGUACCGUGUGGAAGGGCCGUCGCUCAACGGAUAAAAGUUA
Molecule: ribosomal RNA, 368 nt
Filed under: uncultured organism
Description: bacterial LSU rRNA
Rfam family: Bacterial large subunit ribosomal RNA
Source: RNAcentral